UGAGGAAUAUUGGUCAAUGGGCGCAAGCCUGACCCAGCAAUGCCGCGUGAAGGAAGAAGGCCCUCGGGUUGUAAACUUCUUUUAUCAGGGACGAAGGAAGUGACGGUACCUGAUGAAUAAGCUCCGGCUAACUACGUGCCAGCAGCCGCGGUAAUACGUAGGGAGCAAGCGUUAUCCGGAUUUACUGGGUGUAAAGGGCGCGUAGGCGGGAUGGCAAGUCAGAUGUGAAAUCCAAGGGCUCAACCCUUGAACUGCAUUUGAAACUGUCGUUCUUGAGUACUGGAGAGGUUGACGGAAUUCCUAGUGUAGCGGUGAAAUGCGUAGAUAUUAGGAGGAACACCAGUGGCGAAGGCGGUCAACUGGACAGCAACUGACGCUGAGGCGCGAAAGCGUGGGGAGCAAACAGGAUUAGAUACC
RNAcentral lists this ribosomal RNA (417 nucleotides) under uncultured bacterium. RNAcentral describes it as "bacterial SSU rRNA". It matches the Rfam family "Bacterial small subunit ribosomal RNA", at positions 355 to 786 of the family's 1533-position model. The record is from RNAcentral.